Molecule: ribosomal RNA, 415 nt
Filed under: uncultured prokaryote
Description: bacterial SSU rRNA
Rfam family: Bacterial small subunit ribosomal RNA
Source: RNAcentral
GUGUCAGCCGCCGCGGUAAGACGGAGGGUGCAAGCGUUAUUCGGAAUCAUUGGGCGUAAAGAGCGUGUAGGCGGCCGGUUAAGUCAGGUGUGAAAGCCCGGGGCUCAACCCCGGAAGGGCACUUGAAACUGAUCGGCUUGAGUCCGGGAGAGGGAAGCGGAAUUCCUGGUGUAGAGGUGAAAUUCGUAGAUAUCAGGAGGAACACCGGUGGCGAAGGCGGCUUCCUGGCCCGAGACUGACGCUGAGACGCGAAAGCGUGGGGAGCAAACAGGAUUAGAUACCCUGGUAGUCCACGCCGUAAACGAUGGGCGCUAGGUGUGGGAGGUUUUUAAUCCUUCCGUGCCGCAGCUAACGCAUUAAGCGCCCCGCCUGGGGAGUACGGCCGCAAGGUUAAAACUCAAAUGAAUUGACGGGG